Molecule: ribosomal RNA, 497 nt
Filed under: uncultured bacterium
Lineage: Bacteria
Description: partial 16S ribosomal RNA
Rfam family: Bacterial small subunit ribosomal RNA
Source: RNAcentral
GAUGAACGCUGGCGGCGUGCCUAAUACAUGCCAGUCGAGCGAACGGACGAGAAGCUUGCUUCUCUAAUGUUAGCGGCGGACGGGUGAGUAACACGUGGAUAACCUACCUAUAAGACUGGGAUAACUUCGGGAAACCGUAGCUAAUACCGGAUAAUAUUUUGAACCGCAUGGUUCAAAAGUGAAAGACGGUCUUGCUGUCACUUAUAGAUGGAUCCGCGCUGCAUUAGCUAGUUGGUAAGGUAACGGCUUACCAAGGCAACGAUGCAUAGCCGACCUGAGAGGGUGAUCGGCCACACUGGAACUGAGACACGGUCCAGACUCCUACGGGAGGCAGCAGUAGGGAAUCUUCCGCAAUGGGCGAAAGCCUGACGGAGCAACGCCGCGUGAGUGAUGAAGGUCUUCGGAUCGUAAAACUCUGUUAUUAGGGAAGAACAUAUGUGUAAGUAACUGUGCACAUCUUGACGGUACCUAAUCAGAAAGCCACGGCUAACUACGUG